Molecule: ribosomal RNA, 490 nt
Filed under: uncultured bacterium
Lineage: Bacteria
Description: partial 16S ribosomal RNA
Rfam family: Bacterial small subunit ribosomal RNA
Source: RNAcentral
ACUCAAAUGAAUUGACGGGGACCCGCACAACUGGUGGAGCGUGUGGUUUAAUUCGAGACGAAGCGAAACACCUUACCAAGGUUUGACAUGAUACCGUACAGCCCUUUAGAAAUAAGGGGCAAUCCGCAAGGAUGGUACCACAGGUGAUGCAUGGCUGUCGUCAGCUCGUGCCGUGAGGUGUUCCCUUAAGUGGGGAAACGAGCGCAACCCGUGUCUAAUGUUACAUACUCAUUAGAAACUGCCCCGAUUUAAUCGGGGAGGAAGGAGCGGAAGACGUCAAGUCAGCACGUCCCUUAUACCUUGGGUAACACACACCCUACAAUGGCGAAGAACAAUGAGCUGCAAGCCGGUGACGGCAAGCUAAUCUCAGAAAUUUCGCCUCAGUUCAGAUUGGAGUCUGCAACUCGACUCCAUGAAGUCGGAAUCAGUAGUAAUCGCGGAUCAGAAGGCCGCGGUGAAUACGUUCUCGGGUCUUGUACACACCGCCCGU